Molecule: ribosomal RNA, 389 nt
Filed under: uncultured bacterium
Lineage: Bacteria
Description: bacterial SSU rRNA
Rfam family: Bacterial small subunit ribosomal RNA
Source: RNAcentral
AUUGAACGCUGGCGGCAUGCCUUACACAUGCAAGUCGAACGGCAGCACGGGGGCAACCCUGGUGGCGAGUGGCGAACGGGUGAGUAAUACAUCGGAACGUGCCCGAUAGUGGGGGAUAGCUCGGCGAAAGCCGGAUUAAUACCGCAUACGACCUACGGGUGAAAGCGGGGGAUCGCAAGACCUCGCGCUAUCAGAGCGGCCGAUGUCAGAUUAGGUUGUUGGUGGGGAAAGGCCUACCAAGCCGACGAUCUGUAGCUGGUCUGAGAGGACGGACCAGCCACACUGGGACUGAGACACGGCCCAGACUCCUACGGGAGGCAGCAGUGGGGAAUUUUGGACAAUGGGCGAAAGCCUGAUCCAGCCAUGCCGCGUGCGGGAAGAAGGCCUGG